GAGAUUAUGAUUGACAUCAGGAAAUAAUAUUGCAGUGAGUAAUGUACUACUUUAACUGUCUUACAUGAUCAGAAAUAGAGCUUAGGUGUACUUAAUACAUAAACAAUGCCCUUGUCCCAAGUACAGGCCAAAUGUUAAGAUGACAUGCUGAGCAAAAGGUUUUACAAUAGUUCACAUAGAGAGAAAUAGUGGAAGAAAUGAGUCAUUUCAUGACAUAUUGUAGCUUAGCUAUACCAACCAGAAAAGAAGUCACACUAUAGGAGUCAGCACUUACUUGGUAAGGAGAAUUAUCAUGAGACCUAUUUUUGUAAGUAUUAAUUAGCAGUAGCUCAUUAGCAGUGUGUAGAAGUAAAUACAGUUUUACAUGUAUAAGUAUAAUAACAUAAGAAAAUAAUGCUGAUCAAAACUGGACAACUCUAAGAAUUUUUUUUUUUUUUUUUUUUUUUUUUUUUUUUUUUUACUUUUAAGGCCAAAAACCCUGAGAAAUGCUAUACUAGAGUAAACUGCUUUCUUUGCAGAGUGUUUCAGACUAUAUUAUUACCAAAAGUAAUGUGCAAUUCUGGCUGAAAAUUUAAUACGUUUAGUUUCUAUUGAAGAACUGGGAUAGGUUUGUGAGCUUAAUUAUUAUUGACAAGGGUGAUGAUGAUAAUGGUGAGGAUUAUUCUGCAAAUCUAAAGGUGAUGUUCCUACUCCCCAUCGAUAGCAUGUACACUUUUCAUACUUACCCACCGACAAAAUUUUCAUCCAGCUAUGAUAUAUAACAUGCCUUUGCAAAUUUUCAUUACAAAAUGAACAAUACUUAUCUGAUUAUUUUAGAAAGUUGAAGUGAGGAACAAAG
RNAcentral lists this long non-coding RNA (838 nucleotides) under Homo sapiens (human). RNAcentral describes it as "non-protein coding lnc-NUTM1-16:1". Lineage: Eukaryota; Metazoa; Chordata; Mammalia; Primates; Hominidae. The record is from RNAcentral.